This 204-nucleotide long non-coding RNA is filed under the name Gossypium raimondii (Peruvian cotton). Its description in RNAcentral is "long non-coding RNA (GRAI_LNC002348)". The record is from RNAcentral. Lineage: Eukaryota; Viridiplantae; Streptophyta; Magnoliopsida; Malvales; Malvaceae.
GGCGUUCGUGGAGCGCACGUGAAGGAUUGGCCCCGAGACGUGCGGCGGCUGGAAGCUUUGCUGGAGGCGGGCAGGCUGCUAGGCAAACAUGCGGCUAGGGUUUUGUUUUUGGUUUUUAGUUUUGCUGUGUUGGGCUAUUUUAAUUGGGCUUGUAUUUUAAAGAUUUGGGUUGUGCUUUAUUUUGUACUGGCCUGGGCCAGUUGG